Molecule: microRNA precursor, 92 nt
Filed under: Canis lupus familiaris (dog)
Lineage: Eukaryota; Metazoa; Chordata; Mammalia; Carnivora; Canidae
Also listed under: 1 other name
Description: mir-8799 microRNA precursor family
Rfam family: mir-8799 microRNA precursor family
Source: Rfam by way of RNAcentral
GGGGGGAGCGCCAGAUCUUGAGCUGUGUCCCCAGCGCCCUGUGCUCCUCGGCCUGUGCUGUUGGAAUCGUGCUCCCGGCAGUGCAGCUCCCU